GGAAGAAGGAAGGCAUUCCGAAGGCUGAGAACUUGGAAGAAUGCAGGAUGUGGGUUCAGCCGUGAGGACUGGAGAGACCAGACUGGAAUUGUGGGAGAGAAAGUGGAAAGGCAGCUGAAGCAUUGAAAUGGGCAUCUUGGCUGGGCAUGGUGGCUCACACCUGGAAUCCCAGCACUUUGGGAGGCUGAGGCGGGCAGAUCACCUGAGGUCAGGAGUUUGAGACCAGCCUGCCCAACAUGGUGAAGCCCCGUGUCUACUAAAAAUACAGAAAAAUUAGUCGAGCGUGGUGGCACACGCCUGUAAUCCCAGCUACUUUGGAGGCUGAGGCAGAAGAACUGCUUGAACCCAGGAGCUGGAGGUUGCAGUGAGCCGAGAUCAUGCCAUUGUACUCCAGCCUGGGCAACAAGAAUAGAAACUACUAUCUCUAAAAAAAAAAAAAAAGAAAAAGAAGAAGAAGAAAAAAAGAAAGAAAUGGGCAUCUCUACUCUCAGGAACUAGAGAGAGAGGAAAGAGGACAGAAUCAUGCCUCAUGUGAUGGAGGAGAAGAAGUGGGCUUUGGGCUGCUGUGUUGGGCAAGAGACUAUGAUUCAUCUUCCUGCAUGGAUUGCCUUGAGUCAUGCUGUCCUCAUCAUUAGAAUGGAAAUACAUCUAAUGCUUCUAUCAUGAUGAAAUCUAAAAUAAGUCAAUAAGGAUGUUCUUUUGGUCAAAUUGAUGUCUUUGCCUGGGAUGCCCUUCCAUCUUAGUCGACCUAGACAAUAUUCUGCAUCUUUCAAGAAUCAUUUGGUGACUCAUAAAUCUAUAUCUCAAGCCCAGACCUCUGUCCUCAGGUCCUAGGUCAGGUAUCCCACUGCUCACUAAUCACAGCUACUGGAAUUCUUCUGGGGCAUCUUGACUCAUCAUGAGAUAUUCCUUCCAUGGCUCAACAAAGAGAAUGGGUUCCUCUUUUUUUGGCCUCCACUGUUCUUUGUGUAAGCUUCUCUAACACUGUCUGUAAUAGUUUAUUCGAGGUCUUUAUGUAAUCGUUUAUUCAAGGUCUUCAAAUACUGGGCACACAGACCACCCUCCCCCUUCUUCACUAUUGGAAACUUAUUACUAUGAUAAUAACAAUAACAGCUAUUGUUAAUAGUAUUAUUUGCUGAACUGGUAUGAGUAUGGUAGGCAGCUAAUGCCAACAGAUUGGAAGCUAUUGACCAGAUAAAACCUAUAAACCAUUCCUGCAAAUAGAAAUUUGUAUAUUCAUUUUAAUAAAUCAUGUUAAUUUCUCAUGGCACUUGUAGAUAAAUUAAUGAAUCCAUAAAUAAAUAAAUGUAUA
This 1312-nucleotide long non-coding RNA is filed under the name Pan paniscus (pygmy chimpanzee). RNAcentral describes it as "lncRNA (ENSPPAG00000044443.1)". The record is from RNAcentral. Lineage: Eukaryota; Metazoa; Chordata; Mammalia; Primates; Hominidae.